RNAcentral lists this ribosomal RNA (778 nucleotides) under uncultured bacterium. RNAcentral describes it as "bacterial SSU rRNA". It matches the Rfam family "Bacterial small subunit ribosomal RNA", at positions 28 to 788 of the family's 1533-position model. The record is from RNAcentral.
AUUGAACGCUGGCGGCAGGCCUAACACAUGCAAGUCGAGCGGUAACAGGGGUAGCUUGCUACCCGCUGACGAGCGGCGGACGGGUGAGUAAUGCCUAGGAAUCUGCCUAGUAGUGGGGGGAUAGCUCGGGGGAAACUCGAAUUAAUACCGCAUACGCCUACGGGGGAAAGUGGGGGGAUCUUCGGACCUCACGCUAUUAGAUGAGCCUAGGUCGGAUUAGCUUGUUGGUGAGGUAACGGCUCACCAAGGCGACGAUCCGUAGCUGGUCUGAGAGGAUGAUCAGCCACACUGGGACUGAGACACGGCCCAGACUCCUACGGGAGGCAGCAGUGGGGAAUAUUGGACAAUGGGCGAAAGCCUGAUCAGCCAUGCCGCGUGUGUGAAGAGGGCCUCGGGUUGUAAAGCACUUUAAGCAGAGAAGAAAAGCUGCGGGCUAAUACCCUGUAGUCUUGACGGUACCUGCAGAAUAAGCACCGGCUAAUUCCGUGCCAGCAGCCGCGGUAAUACGGAAGGUGCAAGCGUUAAUCGGAUUUACUGGGCGUAAAGCGUGCGUAGGUGGUUGUGUAAGUCGGAUGUGAAAUCCAGGGCUUAACCUUGGAAUUGCACCCGAAACUACACGACUAGAAUGCGGUAGAGGGAAGUGGAAUUCCAGGUGUAGCGGUGAAAAUGCGUAGAUAUCUGGAGGAACACCAAAUGGGCGAAAGGGCAGCUUCCUGGGGCCUGCAUUUGACACUGAGGUACGAAAAGCGUGGGGGAGCAAAACAGGAUUAGAUACCCU